Bos taurus (domestic cattle) is the source of this 3436-nucleotide long non-coding RNA. The record is from Ensembl. Lineage: Eukaryota; Metazoa; Chordata; Mammalia; Artiodactyla; Bovidae.
GGAUCUUCUGAGUGCAAACAGUGACCUCUUGAUAACAAUUGACCAAGUCCUGGACUCUUGCUGCUGAGAUGAACAUUCUUCACUCCUGAUAAACAGGAUAUCGGACUCCCCUCAGAGAUGAUGCCUGCUCACCUGACUCCAUCCCAGAUCACAGAAUUGUUUUCAAAGCUGGUGAGGCUUGGAUACUCUUCAGAGAGCCAGGGAGAGCUUCAGUCUUCAGUCUUCAGCCUGGUGAAAUCCCACCAACAGGGCUUUAUCAUCUACAAAGCGGGGGGAUUCCCUGGGCAGGGGCAACUGAGCCUCUUCCUACUCUGACAACCUGUGGGUCUAUAAAUCUUCAACUACAAGAACAAAACCCCAGGCAUUCUGGCCAAAGAAGCCCCAAUGAACAGUUUGCUUAGUUCCACUAGAACUUGGUUCAAAGUGGCCCAAACUUGGACAGCUCCUUGAGGCUUGUUAGAACGGAUCCAGUGCCUCCUUCUGUCUUUCAGGGUCUGGAGAACCAGAACUUGGGGCUGUAUGGGGAAACCCUGGAGUGCUACAGUUGCCCGAGGAUUAAUAGCAGAUUGACUGAAUCACACAGAACCUGGCGGAUUCUUCCCCGUCCCUUAACCAGGGCUAUCGGACUCUGGAGCAACCCUUUCUGGUACAGAUGGAAUCAGAAUACAUUUCACCCGAGUCCUGUUUCAAGUGCCAGUACUACCUUUACUGGGUUAGUGAAGCCAGAUCAAGCCUGAGACACCCCAAGGAGCUAAAGAUAUGGCCCUGGUGGUUGUGAGCAGUCCAAGUCCUCAGGCAGCAGCUCUCAACCCUGGCAGGUGGUACAGAGACCAUGCGGGAACUUGAAGAGGAGAUUGGAGUGCUUCAAAAGGCGUUCUAUCUGGGGGAGAAAUGGGUUCCCUGAAGAACUGAUGCUUUCAAACUGUGGUGCUGGAGAAGACUCUUGAGAGUCCCUUGGACUGCAGGGAGAGCAACCCAGUCAAUCCUAUAGGAAACCAACCCUGAAUAUUCAUUGGAAGGACUGAUGCUGAAGCUCCAAGACUUUGGCCACCUGAUAUGAAGAGCCGACUCACUGAAAAAGAUCUGAUGCUAGGAAAGAUUGAGGGCAAGAGGAGAAGGGGACGACAAAGGAUGAGAUGGUUGGAUGGCCUCGUCGCCUCAACGGACAUGAGUUUGAGCAAACUCCAGGAGAUGGUGAAGGACAGGGAAGCCUGGCAUGCUGCAGUCCAUUGAGUUGCAAAGAGUCAGACAUGACUGGGUGACUGAACGAUAGCAACGACGACAAAGGGGGGAACUGAGCGCAUGGCAGGGAACACAUUUGGGGGUGGCUGGGGUGUGGGCUCUGGGCUGGUUGGUUUGUAUUUGAGAGGCACAUUUGUGGGUUUGUGGUUGGAACCUCUAGGAACUGGCUAGUCCACGGAAGGGUCAGAGAGGCCCCAGAUGUCAAAGCUAAAACACAGACCUGAUUAAUGUAAGACUUGGUUAAUCCAGGAUGGUUCGCAGAGAAAUGGGCAGUGGGGAGUGGUGUUGGCUCUGAGCUUCAGAUCCAUUUUAAAGUCUCUCUCCUAAAAGCACUGUCUGGUCUAUAAAUUAUGCGCUGGGGUGUCACUGCCUCUUGUCCUCCAAGCUCAGCCAGUCUCUCCGAUGCCAGAUUAGGGGUAUCCCCUUCCUUUUCCUCUAUAGGUGAGGAAGGGGGUCCCUUGCUCAGGGUUCAUGGACUGAGACCAGCUGUUGCCAUGCGAGGUCAUAGACCCCUUACAAGCCCUCAGGGGACAAGUGUAACAGUGUGGGGUGUGCUGGGGCAGGGGGGUGACCAGAGCCACAUGGAAGGUACCUCCUGACGGGACACCAAGGAAUCUCUUCGUGUGAUUCACUGCACCAGAGCCUUCCUUCCAGCUGCCAAAGCCUGCGGAGCCCGCCUGUGACAGCCUGCCUGGGGGGCUGGAGUGUCCCGAAGACGACAAAUCAAAGCUGGCUCAGCCCGAAGCCUGCAUGCCUUUUGGGAGGGCUGGCAGGUGCCGUGCCCAGGUGGGGUUUCUUAUGUAACGUGACACAUGCAUGAGCCGGCCGUGGGUGCACCCGGGGCCGGCAGGGUGACUCAGGCCCCGCCAUCACUGCUUCCCAGAAACGUGGCACUCGGGUGUCAGCUGAGCAAGUGUCUGUGUGUCACUGUGAUUGUUAGAAAGCAAAGGAGGGUCCCAUGAUGCAGCGGGAGCGGGGGUGGGGGCGGACUGUGGAGACUGCAGGGUAUCAAGGCCAAAGGAGGUGGGUGGUGUGGGAUGGGGAGGCAAGAUCUGGAAACUUCCCUUUCCAUUUGGACCAGACUGGGAGGUAAGGAGGGCUGCCAGUGGCACAUCGUCCUCCUACCCUGGGUGGGCGGACGCCUGGCUGAUUCUUAGCAGUGGAAUCCCAUGCGGUGAAUAAUCCUGUGUCACUCAUUACAGAAAUCAAGUCUCUGUGAUGAGAUCUUCCUCUUUCUGGUUGCAAGGCAAUGGAGUGUUUCUUUAUCCCUGCCACUGAGCAGGGAGCAGGGCUCGUCCUCCACAAGUGACCUGGCAGUGCCCUGGGGGUUCGGCUUCUAGGGGUCUUCUCCUGGACCGCCCACAUCCCCAGUGCUGGCCCCGUGUCCCUGGCCCGAAGGUGGAGGGUAAGGUUAAGGGAGGCAGGGGUACAGUUAUGGGACAGGAGGCCUCGAAUCAGAGCAGGAGGGGCCUGCUGGAGCCUCCCGUGCCCGCGCAGGGGGAGGGCUUGGUCUGUGGAAGGAGGACCGGGGAGUCUGGGCUGGGCGCCCCGGGGAGGGAGCAUCAGCAUGACAUGGGUCCAGUGUCCAGCUGGCCUCUGUCCAUGCUCCAGGCCCCAUGGGCAGGUUGGAGGGGAGAAUGGGCAGUGGCCCUUCGUGUCCUCAUCCCAUUGAGUGUCUGUCUCUGAAACCGGGGCGAGGAGGAGGAAGCCAAGGACAAGCUGGGAAGAACAGGCCUUUCCACAAUGAAGACUGAUCUCUUCUGAACUGAAUACAAAACAAAGUCUCUCCUGUAGCUCUCAAGUGCUCUGUGUGUUCUCUCUAAGCCACACCAUCUAGACAACCUGGACCCAUAGGUGUGAUGGGAACCGCGUUGUUCCAGGCCACACGUGUGCAGACCAGUGUCCCACACUGUAUAGCGUCAUCAGGCACAGACUCUGAGAACGGAAAGGAACCUUCGAGCUUGUUGACGCACUAUUCAUGUGGGCUGCCCUGUGCUAUUCAGUGACUAGGAUCCCGAAGAGGCGGGUCAGCUGGACUCGUGUGUUUGGCUAACCACAGUGGCAAUAUGGAGAGGAUUCAGUUCCUGACGUGCCUUUCAUCCGGGGGUGAUGAUGGUGUUUGGUGAGAUUUACCUGCUGGGGUGAAUGUACACCCUUGGAACUUCUUUGGCUGGACUGCAAAUUUAUAGCAUAC